RNAcentral lists this transfer RNA (73 nucleotides) under Candidatus Kerfeldbacteria bacterium. RNAcentral describes it as "tRNA-Ala". It matches the Rfam family "tRNA". Rfam says of the family: Transfer RNA (tRNA) molecules are approximately 80 nucleotides in length. Their secondary structure includes four short double-helical elements and three loops (D, anti-codon, and T loops). Lineage: Bacteria; Candidatus Kerfeldiibacteriota. The record is from RNAcentral.
GGGCCCGUAGCUCAUUUGGUAGAGCGCCGCAUUUGCACUGCGGAGGUGAGGAGUUCGAGCCUCCUCGGGUCCA